This is a long non-coding RNA of Diceros bicornis minor, 444 nucleotides long. RefSeq lists it as uncharacterized. NCBI's taxonomy places the organism in Eukaryota, Metazoa, Chordata, Mammalia, Perissodactyla, Rhinocerotidae. The record is from RefSeq and is a predicted model, not a curated record. The transcript is spliced from 4 exons.
UGACCACCAAGAACCUUCUGUGGGAGGAGAAGCCUGACUUCUUGGAGUUCCCUCCCUGGCUGGUGGCAGAUCAGUUGACACUGAUGGAUGUGAAGUGCAAAGGCCUGAGGAACCUGUCUUCACUCCAUGCCAUCCUCUGGGCAAUGCAGAGCCCCUCCAUUCAGCGUUUAAAUAAGACAUGGAGAUGGGUGUCCAGGUGGGUAGGUCUCUCUCCAUGAGAGCACCACCUGGGUGGACCAGACACCCCCCACAGGACUGCCAUUGCCCUUCAGAAUCAGUUUCCCGAAGUGCCAGACCCUGACUUGAACUAAAUUGAAGAUUUUCAAGUGUUUGCUUUGCAGCAACAGAACUCUCUGUCCACCUGAAAUCAAGAAUCUUUAAAACAAGAGGAACUGCAAAAAAUUUAAAACCUUGUGCAGAAUGGACCAGUGGGAGAGGAGGAAG